UUUACAUUUUUUCUUCUUCUUCGAUU
RNAcentral lists this small RNA (26 nucleotides) under Arabidopsis thaliana (thale cress). RNAcentral describes it as "ATSL188770". Lineage: Eukaryota; Viridiplantae; Streptophyta; Magnoliopsida; Brassicales; Brassicaceae. The record is from RNAcentral.